Molecule: ribosomal RNA, 492 nt
Filed under: uncultured bacterium
Lineage: Bacteria
Description: partial 16S ribosomal RNA
Rfam family: Bacterial small subunit ribosomal RNA
Source: RNAcentral
AGUGAACGCUGGCGGUAGGCCUAACACAUGCAAGUCGAACGGCAGCACAGUAAGAGCUUGCUCUUACGGGUGGCGAGUGGCGGACGGGUGAGGAAUACAUCGGAAUCUACUUUUUCGUGGGGGAUAACGUAGGGAAACUUACGCUAAUACCGCAUACGACCUACGGGUGAAAGCAGGGGAUCUUCGGACCUUGCGCGAUUGAAUGAGCCGAUGUCGGAUUAGCUAGUUGGCGGGGUAAAGGCCCACCAAGGCGACGAUCCGUAGCUCGUCUGAGAGGAUGGUCAGCCACACUGGAACGUGGACACGGUCCAGGCUACUACGGGAGGGAGCAGUGGGGAAUAUUGGACAAUGGGCGCAAGCCUGAUCCAGCCGUACCGCGUGGGUGAAGAAGGCCUUCGGGUUGUAAAGCCGUUUUGUUGGGAAAGAAAAGCAGCAGGUUAAUACCCCGCUGUUCUGACGGUACCCAAAGAAUAAGCACCGGCUAACUUCGUG